AUUAUUGUGUAAUAUUUGCGAAAUGCGAGGGCCCUUAGUUGCUUUCGGUUUCAAUCGGCCAGUAAGAGAGAGAUUAAGGGGCCGAUGAUAUCUGCAGACAGUAAAACUCGUCUUCUUCUACGUCUCCUUUAUCUUGAAACGACAAAUCUUGAUUCUCGAAGCACGACGACAGCAGGCAUUCGUGAAUUCCGAGGUCGCUUUCCUCUUUCUUAGGCUUCAGUACCUUUUGGAAGAAAAUUGGGAAUUGUAUUUGUGGCAGAAACGGGGAUAUGGGAUCUGAAGGGCCAAAGAAUGUAGUCAUUCAUGUUACUGGAUUUAAGAAGUUUCAAGGAGUAGCCGAAAAUCCCACAGAGACAAUAGUUGAUAAUUUGAAGGAUUUUGUUGACAAGAGAGGGUUGCCUGCUGGGGUUACUCUAGGAAGCUGCACCAUUCUUGAGACUGCUGGAGAUGGUGCUCUUCCCACGCUUUACAAGGUCUUGGAAUCGGGCACUGCAGCUACAAAUGAUGACAAAAAUGAACAAAUCGUCUGGGUCAGUUCCAAUUGUGCAACAUUUUGUGGUUUUAGAAAUGUAGCAUAUAAUUUUAAUCCUUAAAUUUGGUUGAUUUUCUCAGUGCUUGCCUGUUCUUCAUUUUACUUCUGUUGCAGUUAAUCCUCAGCUGUUUUGGAUAUAUGUCUAUGCUUCCUGUUUGCCCCAUUAGUUUCCUAUGUUGUGUGGCAUUUAGCGUUUUCUUCAGCUUGAUACACACUUAGCACAGGCCUUCCAUGGUACACACUUAUGUUCUUGAUUAUACUUGGGAGUAUCCUGACCUCAGGGGUGAUUUAUUAAUGGCAUUUCUGUGACUAGCUUGAGAGGCUAUGUAAGAUUUAAGAGUGAUGCAUCAUGCAUAUCAUGGAAAAGAAUAUGCUGCCCCCUUUUAUUUUGGAUCUAGUUUUUCAUGAUUUAAAGUACUUGGCCUUCAUUGCUUCUUCAGCUUCACUUAGGGGUGAAUAGCGGGGCUGUAAGAUUUGCCAUUGAAAGACUAGCAGCGAAUGAAGCCACCUUCUGUUGUCCAGAUGAGCUAGGAUGGCAACCUAAGCAACAUCCCAUAGUCCCUGGGGAUGGAGGAAUUUCCUGCACAAGGGAGGUACUUUAUGAUCUAUUUUUAUUUUAAAUUAUAUGAUACAUGCAUGCGACUAUGAUAACUUUUCGUUAUAUUUGUCUGUGAAGACUUGUUGCUCUAUUGAGGCGAUACUGAAGUUUUUGAAGAAGAAGGGCUAUGAGGUGACAAUAUCAAAUGAUGCAGGUCGCUUUGUAUGCAACUAUGUCUAUUAUCACUCUCUUCGAUUUGCAGAACAGAAGGGUCACAAAACGCUUUUUGUGCAUGUUCCUCCCUUUUCAAGAAUUGAGGAAGAAACUCAAAUGCAAUUUGUAGCGUCCCUUUUAGAGGCUAUUGCCGCAACAUGUCAAUAAAAUUGAUCUGAGUGUUUGUUUUUCUGUGUUCAUGUUUGUUUAUCAUGUGCUGAUGCUUGUACAUCAACUGCAUCUAUAACAU
This 1533-nucleotide unclassified non-coding RNA is filed under the name Hevea brasiliensis (rubber tree). Lineage: Eukaryota; Viridiplantae; Streptophyta; Magnoliopsida; Malpighiales; Euphorbiaceae. The record is from RNAcentral.